Saimiri boliviensis boliviensis (Bolivian squirrel monkey) is the source of this 781-nucleotide non-coding RNA. NCBI's taxonomy places the organism in Eukaryota, Metazoa, Chordata, Mammalia, Primates, Cebidae. The record is from RefSeq and is a predicted model, not a curated record.
AGAUGAGAUUUCGGAGGAAUUGAAAGAAAAGGCCAAGACUGAAGAUGAGAAAAAGGAUGAAGAAAAAGAACACCCCAAAGGAAUUUCUGAAUUUUGGUUAACUGUUUUUAAGAAUGUUGACUUGCUCAGUGAUAUGGUUCCGGAACAUGAUGAACCUAUUCUGAAGCACUUGAAAGAUAUUAAAGUGAAGUUCUCAGAUGCUGGCCAGCCUAUGAGUUUUGUCUUAGAAUUUCACUUUGAGCCCAAUGAAUAUUUUACAAAUGAAGUGCUGACAAAGACAUAUAGGAUGAGGUCAGAACCAGAUGAUUCUCAUCCCUUUUCUUUUGAUGGACCAGAAAUUAUGGGUUGAACAGGGUGCCAGAUAGAUUGGAAAAAAGGAAAGAAUGUCACUUUGAAAACCAUCAAGAAGAAGCAGAAACACAAGGGACACGGGACAGUUCGUACUGUGACUAAAACAGUUUCCAAUGACUCUUUCUUUAAUUUUUUUGCCCCUCCUGAAGUUCCCGAGAGUGGAGAUCUGGAUGAUGAUGCUGAAGCUAUCCUUGCUGCAGACUUUGAAAUUGGUCACUUUUUACGUGAGCGUAUAAUCCCAAGAUCAGUGUUAUACUUUACUGGAGAAGCUAUUGAAGAUGAUGAUGAUGAUUAUGACGAAGAAGGUGAAGAAGCGGAUGAGGGUUAUCAGCUCUUUGAAGAAGUCAAAAGCUGCAGUAAACUUUUUCAACGUUGGCUGCAGUAACUAUUUUCAAUAAAAGCUGUCUGGAUGUCAAAAAAAAAAAAAAAA